Siniperca chuatsi (mandarin fish) is the source of this 1476-nucleotide long non-coding RNA. RefSeq lists it as uncharacterized. The record is from RefSeq and is a predicted model, not a curated record. The transcript is spliced from 3 exons. Lineage: Eukaryota; Metazoa; Chordata; Actinopteri; Centrarchiformes; Sinipercidae.
AUAAAACAUAAAUCACUAAUGGUCUUAAACUAGCUAAAAUCAUGCAAAAUAAUUAAUCGAUUGGCUCAACGGAUUAUCUAUAAAAUAUCCAAAAUAAUAAAAAAUGCCAGAGUUACCAGCAACUUCGGCAAUGCAAAAUCAAACAGCAGCCUUUUGUAAGACGGAGAAAAGUAAGCAAUUCCCCUUGAAAUGUUCGGUAUUUUACUUGAUAAAUAACCUAGACAGUUAUUAAAUUUGUCUUUAAUUAAUUUUCAUUCGACCAAGUAAUUGAUUAAUCAUCGAGUCUCAGCACUACACAUAACUGUAUUAGUAGCCCCGGUAUGCUGAAAAAUGGCAACUUAUUGUAUCAGUCCCACUCCGGCCAAAAACAUGUAGCAGCUAGUCCUGUUAUAUAGCUGCAUGUCACACACUGAAAUCUGCAGCCACUUUGGAUUACAUUUUAUUUGUAUUGCCAGUAAACGGCUACUGUCUUGAUAAAUAAAUCUCACAGCUUUAUUACAAAAAACCGGGAAAAGACCUCCCACUGCGGGUCAUUUGCAGAAAACGUUUUAUUCAACGUCACGUAACGUUAAUGUUCAACUGACGCAGUCAGAUUUCACACUUGCUGUCAGGUAACCGUUACUACUCGACUCGUCGUCUGCGUAGAUGGAAAUUAAUUUCAGGGUACACCAGUGUUUGUCCAUGCUGGGCCCUUUGCCAACAUCGCCCAUGGCAACUCCUCAGUGCUGGCGGACAAGCUGGCUUUGAAGUUGGUUGGACAGGACGGCUUUGUGGCAUGUUAAAAUCCUAUUUUGCACAGCGACCAGUGUUGUUCACACUCCAGAGCAGUAGGUGGCAGUAGCAGGAAUGUCAGUUGCCCACCAGCAGGAAACAAAGAAACAGGAAGUGGUAGUAUUGUCAGAAAACGUUUGAGAUUUGUGUGUUUUUAUUGUUUCCUCUGAAUUUCAAAUGUGGAUCAAACAACUUUUGAUUGUAGUAUGAUUUAGCCUCGGGUCACUUGAACCUGCUGUAAGGCAGUUACUUAUUUGUUGGAGGUAAAAUAGAUACAACUGGUGAUUUUAGGUUAGCUUUUGAUGUGGAAAUACAGCAUUGCAUGAUGGGAAAUAUAACCAUUAUUUAGUAAAAUGUAAAAAGCCUUAGUACAGAACUGUCUCUUCUGUAUUAAAUUCCUGCAGAUUCACACACACACACACACACACACUCUCUCUCUCUCUCACAACCCUCUGGUUUUGGUCAUUUACAGAUGGUCAGGACCCUAAGUCAGUAUGGUAUGUCUGUGAAAGACUCCCUCGUCUCUGAUCUGUACAACUCAUACUUACCUGGCAGGGGAGAUACCAUGAUCAAGAAGGUGGUUCACCCAGGGUGAGGCUUAACCAUUGCACUCCGGUUGAGCUGACCUCUGCGAAUUCCCCAAAUGUGGGAAUCUCGACUGCAUAAUUUCUGGUAGUGGGGGACUGCGUUCGCGCUCUCCCCUGA